UUAACUGGAAAAUCCUCAUCUGAUUGGAAGAGUAAAAUUGUUCAUCAUCCCAGACAAAGUGAUGGCCACAACUGCGGACCACUCAUCUUAAAGUUUGCAGAAGCAUAUUUGGAGCACAAAGACAUAAGUAUGGUAGAAACAACACAAGAGGCUAAUAUUGCGUUUAGAAGACAUAUAGCAAUUCUUCUAAUGAAGGAGUCAGAAAACGUGGAAGACUACUGCAUAUACUGCAACCUCGUCAACUGUGAAAAGGAAAGUGAGGAUUGCACGAUGGUACAGUGUGAUUCUUGCAAGAGAUGGGCACAUAUGCCCUGCAUUACAGAAGGAUCCAAUCAAGACUACCUGACUGAUGCCAAGAAAGAGUACAACUGCAAGAAAUGUGCAUAGUUCACUUCUUU
This is a long non-coding RNA of Trachemys scripta elegans, 398 nucleotides long. RefSeq lists it as uncharacterized. Lineage: Eukaryota; Metazoa; Chordata; Testudines; Emydidae. The transcript has 4 exons. The record is from RefSeq and is a predicted model, not a curated record.